AAGAGUCGAGCCUGCCCGGUGAUAGUAUUUAACGGCCGCGGUACUCUGACCGUGCAAAGGUAGCAUAAUCAUUUGCCUUAUAAUUGAAGGCUGGUAUGAAAGGUUUAACGAAAGCUAAGCUGUCUUUUAUUGAAUGAAAUGAAAUUGACCUCCAAGUGCAAAGGCUUGUAUUUAACUAAAAGACAAGAAGACCCUAUUGAGCUUUAAAAAUUUAAGGAAAGUAAAUGAUAUUAGGGUAAGAUUUUAAUUUUUCUAAACUUUUUAGUUGGGGCGACUUUGGAACAAUAAUAACUUCCUAAUAUUAAAGAAUACUUUUAAGUUUUGAUCCAAAAAGUUUUGAUUAAUAGAAUUAGUUACCAUAGGGAUAACAGCAUAAUCUUUCUUAAGAGCUCUAAUCGAAAGAAGGGAUUGUGACCUCGAUGUUGGACUAGAAUAUCCCAAAGGUGCAGAAGUUUUUGAGGGUUGGUCUGUUCG
Molecule: ribosomal RNA, 474 nt
Filed under: Pomacea camena
Lineage: Eukaryota; Metazoa; Mollusca; Gastropoda; Architaenioglossa; Ampullariidae
Description: partial 16S ribosomal RNA
Rfam family: Bacterial large subunit ribosomal RNA
Source: RNAcentral